UGUUGCGGCCAUAAUACCAUGGAGAACACACUGUUUCCCGUCCGAUAAACACUCGUCAAGCGUCAUAGGGCCACACCGAGUAGUUAAGUGGGAGACUAUAUGCGAAAUUGUGGUGUUGCAAUCU
RNAcentral lists this ribosomal RNA (124 nucleotides) under Metschnikowia bicuspidata var. bicuspidata NRRL YB-4993. Lineage: Eukaryota; Fungi; Ascomycota; Pichiomycetes; Serinales; Metschnikowiaceae. The record is from RNAcentral.